RNAcentral lists this ribosomal RNA (955 nucleotides) under Microbacterium hydrocarbonoxydans. Its description in RNAcentral is "bacterial SSU rRNA". It matches the Rfam family "Bacterial small subunit ribosomal RNA", at positions 30 to 999 of the family's 1533-position model. Lineage: Bacteria; Bacillati; Actinomycetota; Actinomycetes; Micrococcales; Microbacteriaceae. The record is from RNAcentral.
GGGAGGGGCGGGGUGCUACCAUGCAGUCGACGGUGAAGGUGGAGCUUGCUCUGCUGGAUCAGUGGCGAACGGGUGAGUAACACGUGAGCAAUCUGCCCCUGACUCUGGGAUAAGCGCUGGAAACGGCGUCUAAUACUGGAUACGAACCACGGAGGCAUCUUCGGUGGUUGGAAAGAUUUUUCGGUCUGGGAUGAGCUCGCGGCCUAUCAGCUUGUUGGUGAGGUAAUGGCUCACCAAGGCGUCGACGGGUAGCCGGCCUGAGAGGGUGACCGGCCACACUGGGACUGAGACACGGCCCAGACUCCUACGGGAGGCAGCAGUGGGGAAUAUUGCACAAUGGGCGCAAGCCUGAUGCAGCAACGCCGCGUGAGGGAUGACGGCCUUCGGGUUGUAAACCUCUUUUAGCAGGGAAGAAGCGAAAGUGACGGUACCUGCAGAAAAAGCGCCGGCUAACUACGUGCCAGCAGCCGCGGUAAUACGUAGGGCGCAAGCGUUAUCCGGAAUUAUUGGGCGUAAAGAGCUCGUAGGCGGUUUGUCGCGUCUGCUGUGAAAUCCCGAGGCUCAACCUCGGGCCUGCAGUGGGUACGGGCAGACUAGAGUGCGGUAGGGGAGAUUGGAAUUCCUGGUGUAGCGGUGGAAUGCGCAGAUAUCAGGAGGAACACCGAUGGCGAAGGCAGAUCUCUGGGCCGUAACUGACGCUGAGGAGCGAAAGGGUGGGGAGCAAACAGGCUUAGAUACCCUGGUAGUCCACCCCGUAAACGUUGGGAACUAGUUGUGGGGUCCAUUCCACGGAUUCCGUGACGCAGCUAACGCAUUAAGUUCUCCGCCUGGGGAGUACGGCCGCAAGGCUAAAACUCAAAGGAAUUGACGGGGACCCGCACAAGCGGCGGAGCAUGCGGAUUAAUUCUAUGCUACGCGAAGAACCUUACCAAGGCUUGACAUACACGAGAACGCU